Molecule: ribosomal RNA, 584 nt
Filed under: uncultured Alcaligenes sp.
Lineage: Bacteria; Pseudomonadati; Pseudomonadota; Betaproteobacteria; Burkholderiales; Alcaligenaceae
Description: bacterial SSU rRNA
Rfam family: Bacterial small subunit ribosomal RNA
Source: RNAcentral
CUACGGGAGGCAGCAGUGGGGAAUUUUGGACAAUGGGGGAAACCCUGAUCCAGCCAUCCCGCGUGUAUGAUGAAGGCCUUCGGGUUGUAAGGUACUUUUGGCAGAGAAGAAAAGGUAUCCCCUAAUACGGGAUACUGCUGACGGUAUCUGCAGAAUAAGCACCGGCUAACUACGUGCCAGCAGCCGCGGUAAUACGUAGGGUGCAAGCGUUAAUCGGAAUUACUGGGCGUAAAGCGUGUGUAGGCGGUUCGGAAAGAAAGAUGUGAAAUCCCAGGGCUCAACCUUGGAACUGCAUUUUUAACUGCCGAGCUAGAGUAUGUCAGAGGGGGGUAGAAUUCUACGUGUAGCAGUGAAAUGCGUAGAUAUGUGGAGGAAUACCGAUGGCGAAGGCAGCCCCCUGGGAUAAUACUGACGCUCAGACACGAAAGCGUGGGGAGCAAACAGGAUUAGAUACCCUGGUAGUCCACGCCCUAAACGAUGUCAACUAGCUGUKGGGGCCGUUAGGCCUUAGUAGCGCAGCUAACGCGUGAAGUUGACCGCCUGGGGAGUACGGUCGCAAGAUUAAAACUCAAAUGAAUUGACGG